UACGUAGGGGGCGAGCGUUGUCCGGAGUUACUGGGCGUAAAGCGCACGUAGGCGGUCUUUUAAGUCGGGGGUGAAAUCCUGGAGCUCAACUCCAGAACUGCCUUCGAUACUGGAAGACUUGAGUCCGGGAGAGGUGAGUGGAACUGCGAGUGUAGAGGUGAAAUUCGUAGAUAUCGGGAGGAACACCGGUGGCGAAGGCGGCGAUCUGGGUCGAUACUGACGCUGAGGUGCGAAAGCGUGGGGAGCAAACAGG
RNAcentral lists this ribosomal RNA (253 nucleotides) under uncultured bacterium. RNAcentral describes it as "partial 16S ribosomal RNA". It matches the Rfam family "Bacterial small subunit ribosomal RNA", at positions 524 to 776 of the family's 1533-position model. The record is from RNAcentral.